GAACCAACUGGUUGAUAAUCACUAACUAUUUUGAUAGUGGGUUAAGUUCAUUUUACCCAACUUCACACCUGGAAGCUGUGACCUGAUGAAGCUCAGGUGUUCCUGGACCCAUCAGAGGACAGAGACAGCUGCAGCAUCAGGACAGUCUGGGUAUCCAAAGGAAGACUGAUGAAGAUGAACACUGACUGCAGAGCUCCAUUACCAGCUCACACUUCAAUAUACUAGAAACCAUAAACCUUGAUGGAGAACAUGAUCUGCACAGUUUACAUAAAAGUUAUAGCUUUGUUACUUCCAACAUGUGUAACUGGAAUAUGACUGAAAUAUAAAUAAAGUGUUUUACUUUUAAGAA
Long non-coding RNA from Dicentrarchus labrax (European seabass), 349 nucleotides. RefSeq lists it as uncharacterized. The record is from RefSeq and is a predicted model, not a curated record. NCBI's taxonomy places the organism in Eukaryota, Metazoa, Chordata, Actinopteri, Moronidae. The transcript is spliced from 2 exons.